Molecule: long non-coding RNA, 710 nt
Organism: Xiphophorus couchianus (Monterrey platyfish)
Lineage: Eukaryota; Metazoa; Chordata; Actinopteri; Cyprinodontiformes; Poeciliidae
Exons: 2
Source: RefSeq, a predicted model, not a curated record
UUGUUAUAAAAUGCUUAGGCCUGAUAUCAGUUUUCGUUCUUUGGUUUCAAUGUAGAGUAUUUAAUUAUGCUGUAUAAUAGUUGUAAAAAGAAUAAAGGUAACUACUUCACAGAUUUCGCCGAUCACGGGUUCUUUUAGGAAUGCAAACGAGGGUUCACUGUAUCCUGCUUUUAUUCUAGUAAUCAGUGUGAAUUACAAGUAAUGAACUCAUCAAAUAAUCUGUCAGUUUCAUCUGUAAAUGUUGAAUUGAUGAGGUUUGAUUCUCUCUGCAGAAAAACCAACAUCCACAGCCCCGCCCACUACUGAAGCUCCUCCUACUAUAGAAGCUCCUCCCACUUACUCACCUUCCCCUCUCCUCAUCAUCACUCUGCUCUGCCACCUGGUGGUGAUGUUCCUGUUCUUCAUCUGCUCUUUCCUCUUGGGGUUUUCAUUUGGACUCAGAACCAAAGGAAGUGACCCGUUACCAUGUGUGAAGAUGACUCCGCCCCCCCAGGCUGAGCUGGUACCAGAUGAUGAUGAUGAUGAUGAUGAUGAUGACGUCACCACAGAGUAUCACUUCUGAACCAAACAUUCUCAUCCUGCUCUGCUCCUGCUGUCUUCUUCCUCUUCGUUUUCUGGGAGCAUUUCUUUAAAGCUUUUAUAAAAAAUAUUUGUUUUUUCUUAUUUGUUGAAACUGUAAUCUUCAACUUUGGAAUAAAAUGUGGAGUUAA